This 1883-nucleotide long non-coding RNA is filed under the name Equus caballus (horse). RNAcentral's name for it is "lncRNA (ENSECAG00000048241.1)". The record is from RNAcentral. Lineage: Eukaryota; Metazoa; Chordata; Mammalia; Perissodactyla; Equidae.
UGAACUUUCAAGCUGCCUCCGCUGCAGACUCUGGCAUCAGUUCCGUGGCCGUCAGGGAGUAUGAAAAGCUCCUCUGAGGUCCCCCUGGCUGAGUCAGCGUUACGUCACCCCAGUCUGACCUGGAGCCCAGCAGGCCGUCUCCUGUCUUGCUUCCCGAUGGCCAAGACUUAAGUGGGCUCUACCUGCAUCCUUCGCCUGAGAGCUGAUUUCUUCUGGGGAUGGGGUCCCGCCGGGAUCCGAGUCUGUGCAGCAGCUGAGCCCUGUCCCUGAGCCCUCGGCUGGGUCCCUCCUGUGGCCUCGGCACACUCUGAAGCUCUGCCCUGCCCUCCGCUUCUGUCUGCCUGGCUGGGGCUCGCUGACCCGCCUGCCCUGCUCCUGUUGAACCGUCUGCGCUCUGGGCUUUGGCUGGUGCCCAUGAACCCAUUGCAUCCAGACAGACCUGGCCAGGACGUUCCCUCUGCCUUCUGCCAAAUUGCCUCGGUCUCCCUGAGAGCCAUCUGCUUCCCCCCUGAGACCUGGGGUGUGGGGAGAGGCAGGGACUGCCUCAGGGUCACCAGAGUGUCUGCAGUUUCAGCCAGAAAGGUUGGUGAAGCAUUCUGGGAUCCUCCGAUGGGACAUGGCAGGAAAAUAUUAUUCGAGCAGCGCAGAACGACUUUCCCUUUUGGUUUUGGAGGAACUGGAAAGGAAAGACUUGGAAUUCUAUAUGCUCAGGCUCCUGGCCCAGGCUUGACAAAAGCCCUUUCAGGAUUGAAGUAACUGCGCUCCCAGCUUGCCGCCCAUCUCUAGUCCCAGCAGCACUUUCUCUUUGUCUGCAAACUGCUGUGCUGGUGUUUGCAGAAGGGGGUCCUGCCUGCCAACUGUGUACUCUUUCAGCCCCCACAGAAGCCGACUUCCUAGGAAACAGGACCUCUCAUCCCCCUGGGCCUCCCCAGUGUUUAUCUUGUCUGCAGAUGAGUCACUGCUCCCUGUGACUUAUCGACAGGACUGAUGUGGCCCUGCAGAGGAUCCAAAAGCUGCCGUGGCUGCCCGGACCCCUCGGAGGAGCAAAACCUGGAGGUUCUGGAGGAGAGAAACCGGGACUGGGUCUUGGGGAUUCCUGAGGUCAAGUCUUGGCUCUUCUAGUUACGACCUGGGGGAAGUUAUAACCUCUGGAGGCUGUUUCCUUAUCUGUUGAGCAGGAAUGACAAUUUCCACCUUUCUGGGGGCAUUGUGCGAUUUCGUGCUUUCAAACACAGUCUAGAUGUGGAAGAAUAGGAAAGAUUUCAGAGCUUGGGGCCGUCUGUAAGGUUGUCGUCACGGAGUUACUUGGCCCCACGCUGGAGCAGCCAUACUGAACCACAAGGUGGUCUUGGAACUGAAGGCCACAUACGGAACAGCAAGGAGAAGAAGGAGCCUGAGUGUUUGAGAACUUUGUGGAGCAGCCCUGAGUUGUCUAGCUCCGGACUUUUACCUGACACAGAAAUACUUUGCUGCUUUAAUGAAAGGAUUUUGUUUCGGUUUUCUGUUUCUGUCUGCCAAACCUAAUUCCAACAGAUCCAAAGUACAUACCUACACCUCCCCACCACUAAAUUCUACUCCCCAGAGACAAUUACUUGCUUCCCUUUAGCUGUUUCUUCUAGUAUUUACCUCCAGAUGUCUGAAUAACACACCUCACUGCUAUUUCUUGUUUGUUUAUUUGAUUUUAGACAUUAUCUAUUGACUCCCCACUAUAAAAUGUUAAGAUUUAGCUCUCUUUGCUCACUCCCAGCCCUCUGCUCACAUGAACACUGCCCUUCUGCCCAUCCUGCCAAUCCAGAUUUCUACUUGGAUCAUAGAUGGUAUAUUUCUCUAUUGUUACAACUGUGUAAUUAUUGUUCACAGCUGAGCUAAGUCCAUACUGCAGG